GCCCCUGUAGCUUAGUGGUAGAGCGUCUGGCUGUUAACCAGAAGGUCGCCUGUUCAAACCAGGCCGGGGGCG
RNAcentral lists this transfer RNA (72 nucleotides) under Candidatus Naiadarchaeales archaeon SRR2090153.bin1042. RNAcentral describes it as "tRNA-Asn". It matches the Rfam family "tRNA". From Rfam's summary of the family: Transfer RNA (tRNA) molecules are approximately 80 nucleotides in length. Their secondary structure includes four short double-helical elements and three loops (D, anti-codon, and T loops). RNAcentral also lists the same sequence under 1 other name. Lineage: Archaea; Nanobdellati; Candidatus Undinarchaeota; Candidatus Undinarchaeia; Candidatus Naiadarchaeales. The record is from RNAcentral.